This 253-nucleotide ribosomal RNA is filed under the name uncultured bacterium. RNAcentral describes it as "partial 16S ribosomal RNA". It matches the Rfam family "Bacterial small subunit ribosomal RNA", at positions 524 to 776 of the family's 1533-position model. The record is from RNAcentral.
UACGGGGGGGGCAAGCGUUGUUCGGAAUUACUGGGCGUAAAGGGCUCGUAGGCGGCCAACUAAGUCGGAUGUGAAAUCCCCAGGCUUAACCUGGGAACUGCAUCCGAUACUGGAUGGCUUGAAUCCGGGAGAGGGAUGCAGAAUUCCAGGUGUAGCGGUGAAAUGCGUAGAUAUCUGGAGGAAUACCGGUGGCGAAGGCGGAUCUCUGGGCCUUACCUGACGCUCAGGCGCGAAAGCUAGGGGAGCGAACUGG